CAAAGUAUAGCUCAACAUGUUAAAGCAUCUCACUUACACCGAGAAGUUAUCUGUGCAAAUCAGAUUACUUUGA
This 73-nucleotide transfer RNA is filed under the name Cynoglossus monopus. Its description in RNAcentral is "tRNA-Val". It matches the Rfam family "tRNA". Rfam says of the family: Transfer RNA (tRNA) molecules are approximately 80 nucleotides in length. Their secondary structure includes four short double-helical elements and three loops (D, anti-codon, and T loops). Lineage: Eukaryota; Metazoa; Chordata; Actinopteri; Pleuronectiformes; Cynoglossidae. The record is from RNAcentral.